RNAcentral lists this ribosomal RNA (235 nucleotides) under Streptomyces sp. SID10115. Its description in RNAcentral is "partial 16S ribosomal RNA". It matches the Rfam family "Bacterial small subunit ribosomal RNA", at positions 1 to 238 of the family's 1533-position model. Lineage: Bacteria; Bacillati; Actinomycetota; Actinomycetes; Kitasatosporales; Streptomycetaceae. The record is from RNAcentral.
CAUUCACGGAGAGUUUGAUCCUGGCUCAGGACGAACGCUGGCGGCGUGCUUAACACAUGCAAGUCGAACGAUGAACCACUUCGGUGGGGAUUAGUGGCGAACGGGUGAGUAACACGUGGGCAAUCUGCCCUUCACUCUGGGACAAGCCCUGGAAACGGGGUCUAAUACCGGAUAACACCUUCCCUCUCCUGAGGGAGGGUUAAAAGCUCCGGCGGUGAAGGAUGAGCCCGCGGCC